CCAAAAUGCUGGGAUUAUAGGCAUGAACCACUGUACCUGACCUUAUGCUUUGGAAUUUAAUGUUACAUAUGUCUAUUUUUAAUCCUUUCAAAAAUAUAUGUUACUGACUUGUUCUGUGAUCUUUUUUCUGGGUCUAUAAUUGCAUUUAUUUUAAUUUCUAAGGGAGGGAUAAAUAUUAUCUCUUUUUUUGGUGUUGUGAUGAUUCUUGAAGAGAUAAAAUGUUCUUAAAAUAUUUGGUUGUUUUUGAAAUGAAUGUACUAUAAGAAUAAGAUUAUUUGUGUUGUGUGUGUGUGUGUAUAUAUAUGUAUAUAUGUUUUCAUUUUAUUCUUCUGAAUAUACCUUAGUUUGAAGCCUUGAAGUUUUUUGUCCACUUGAAAAGUAUGUCUGUUGUUCUAAGAGAAAAUCAUCAAAAAGCUGAGCUGAUAGAUAUUGUAAUAGAAGAAUUUAGCACCUUAAUUGUGCAAAGACCAGGAGCGCAAGCAGUAAAAUUUGAAACUAAAAUAGAUUCAUUUCAUAUUACUGGCUUACCAGAUAAUUCAGAAAAACCCCGCCUCCUGUCUUCAUUGGAUGAUGCAAUGUCACUCUUCCAAAUUACAUUUGAGAUAAAUCCAUUAGAUGAAACUGUUACUCAGAGGUGUAUCAUAGAAGCUGAACCUUUAGAAAUCAUAUAUGAUGCAAGGACAGUGAAUAGUAUAGUGGAAUUCUUCAGACCUCCAAAAGAGGUACAUCUAGCACAGCUCACUUCAGCAACAUUGACAAAACUGGAAGAAUUUCGCAAUAAGACAGCAACAGGACUACUGUAUAUUAUUGAAACACAGAAAGUUCUUGAUCUCAGAAUUAAUUUGAAGGCUUCAUAUAUUAUUGUCCCACAAGAUGGAAUUUUUAGUCCUACAUCAAAUCUGCUUCUUUUGGACCUUGGUCAUCUUAAGGUGACAAGUAAAAGUCGUUCUGAAUUACCAGAUGUGAAACAAGGUGAGGCCAAUCUUAAAGAGAUAAUGGAUAUAGCUUAUGAUUCCUUUGAUAUUCAACUUACAAGCAUACAGCUGCUUUACAGUAGAGUUGGUGAUAAUUGGAGAGAAGCACGAAAACUCAAUGUAUCUACCCAGCAUAUUUUGGUACCCAUGCACUUCAAUUUGGAACUGUCUAAGGCCAUGGUUUUCAUGGAUGUAAGGAUGCCCAAAUUCAAGAUUUUUGGGAAGUUACCUCUUAUUUCUUUACGAAUCUCAGAUAAAAAACUACAAGGAAUUAUGGAAUUGGUUGAAAGCAUUCCAAAACCUGAACCAGUAACUGAAGUAUCUGCCCCUGUCAAAUCAUUCCAGAUUCAAACAUCUACUUCUUUGGGAACAUCACAGAUUUCACAGAAAAUAAUUCCUCUCUUGGAACUUCCGUCUGUUUCUGAAGAUGAUUCAGAGGAGGAAUUUUUUGAUGCACCAUGUAGUCCCUUGGAAGAACCUCUUCAGUUCCCAACUGGAGUUAAAAGUAUUCGAACCAGAAAGUUACAAAAGCAGGAUUGUUCAGUGAAUAUGACUACGUUUAAAAUACGAUUUGAAGUACCAAAGGUUUUGAUCGAGUUUUAUCACCUUGUUGGAGAUUGUGAACUAUCUGUGGUAGAAAUUCAUGUUUUAGGAUUGGGCACAGAAAUUGAGAUUAGAACAUACGAUUUGAAAGCAAGUGCCUUUUUGAAAGAGUUCUGCUUAAAAUGCCCAGAAUACUUGGAUGAAAACAGGAAACCAGUUUAUUUGGUUACAACCCUGGAUAACACAAUGGAAGACCUGUUAACGCUGGAAUAUGUAAAGGCUGAAAAGAAUGUACCCAACUUGAAAAGUACCUAUAACAAUGUUUUACAAUUGAUUAAGGUAAAUUUUUCCUCUUUGGAUAUUCAUUUACACACUGAAGCACUUCUGAAUACAAUAAAUUAUCUUCAUAAUAUCCUUCCGCAAUCAGAGGAAAAAUCAGCCCCAGUGUCCACUACAGAGACUGAAGACAAAGGAGAUGUCAUUAAAAAAUUAGCUUUGAAACUAUCCACGAAUGAAGAUAUCAUUACUUUGCAGAUUUUAGCAGAAUUAUCAUGUUUACAGAUCUUUAUUCAAGAUCAGAAACGUAACAUUUCUGAAAUUAAGAUUGAAGGGCUUGAUUCUGAGAUGAUUAUGAGGCCUUCAGAAACUGAAAUAAAUGCAAAGCUAAGGAAUAUAAUUGUUUUAGAUUCUGAUAUAACAGCUGUAUACAAAAAGGCUGUUUAUAUCACUGGAAAAGAAGUUUUCAGCUUCAAAAUGGUUUCUUACAUGGAUGCAACUGCUGGUUCUGCAUACACAGAUAUGAAUGUGGUUGACAUUCAGGUUAAUUUAGUAGUUGGUUGCAUUGAAGUAGUUUUUGUCACAAAAUUUCUAUGUUCUAUAUUGGCUUUUAUAGAUAAUUUUCAGGCAGCUAAACAAGCCUUGGCUGAGGCAACUGUUCAGGCAGCUGGAAUGGCUGCUACUGGUGUAAAAGAACUGGCACGAAGGAGUUCCAGAAUGGCACUGGAUAUUAACAUCAAAGCCCCAGUUGUGGUCAUCCCGCAGUCUCCAGUUUCUGAAAAUGUUUUUGUUGCUGAUUUUGGGCUAAUUACAAUGACAAAUACCUUUCAUAUGAUAACAGAGAGCCAGAGCUCUCCCCCACCUGUUAUUGAUUUGAUAACAAUAAAGCUGAGUGAAAUGCGACUAUACAGGUCUCAAUUUAUUAAUGAUGCAUACCAGGAAGUACUGGAUCUACUACUGCCGUUAAAUCUGGAGGUGGUGGUUGAACGAAAUUUAUGCUGGGAGUGGUACCAGGAAGUUCCUUGUUUUAAUGUAAAUGCUCAGCUGAAACCAAUGGAGUUCAUUCUUAGUCAAGAAGAUAUAACAACUAUUUUUAAAACAUUGCAUGGCAAUAUAUGGUAUGAAAAAGAUGGUAGUGCCUCACCUGCUGUAACAAAAGACCAAUAUGGUGCCACUAGUGGAGUUACUACUAAUGCUUCACACCAUUCAGGAGGAGCAACUGUGGUGACAGCUGCCGUGGUAGAAGUACAUUCACGUGCCUCCCUAGUUAAGACAACACUAAACGUGAGCUUCAAAACUGAUUAUCUCACCAUGGUGCUGUAUAGUCCAGGUCCUAAACAAGCUUCCUUUACAGAUGUUCGGGAUCCUUCUCUGAAACUUGCUGAAUUUAAAUUGGAGAAUAUAAUAAGUACUUUAAAAAUGUAUACAGAUGACUCAACAUUUUCUUCCUUCUCAUUAAAAAACUGUAUUUUAGAUGAUAAAAGGCCUCAUGUCAAGAAAGCAACUCCUCGAAUGAUAGGACUGACUGUUGGUUUUGACAAAAAAGAUAUGAUGGAUAUAAAGUACAGGAAAGUCAGAGAUGGCUGUGUGACUGAUGCAGUCUUUCAAGAAAUGUAUAUUUGUGCAAGUGUAGAAUUUCUGCAGACUGUUGCAAAUGUCUUUCUUGAGGCCUACACCACAGGCACUGCUGUAGAAACCAGUGUGCAAACAUGGACUGCUAAGGAAGAAGUACCUACACAGGAAUUAGAGAAGUGGGAAAUUAAUGUUAUUAUUAAAAAUCCUGAAAUUGUGUUCGUGGCUGACAUGACAAAAAAUGAUGCUCCUGCCUUAGUCAUUACAACACAAUGUGAAAUUUGCUAUAAAGGUAACCUUGAAAAUAGCACAAUGACUGCUGCUAUUAAAGAUCUCCAAGUGAGAGCCUGCCCGUUUCUUCCAAUCAAGAGAAAAGGCAGAGUCACUACUGUUUUGCAGCCCUGUGACUUGUUUUAUCAAACUACUCAGGCAGGUACAGAUCCACAAGUGAUCGAUAUGUCAGUAAAAUCCCUGACACUAAAGGUUUCACCAGUUAUUAUAAAUACUAUGAUUACCAUAACUUCAGCACUGUAUACAACUAAGGAAACCAUCCCAGAAGAAACAGCUUCUUCUACUGCACAUUUAUGGGAAAAGAAGGAUACAAAGACUUUAAAAAUGUGGUUUCUUGAAGAAUCAAAUGAAACUGAAAAAAUAGCUCCCACAACUGAAUUGGUACCCAAAGGCGAGAUGAUAAAAAUGAACAUUGAUUCUAUUUUUAUAGUUCUUGAGGCUGGAAUUGGUCAUAGAACAGUGCCUAUGCUUCUGGCAAAGUCACGUUUUUCAGGGGAAGGCAAAAACUGGAGUUCCCUAAUAAAUCUGCACUGUCAGCUUGAGCUAGAAGUGCAUUAUUAUAAUGAAAUGUUUGGUGUGUGGGAGCCUUUGCUUGAACCCUUAGAAAUUGAUCAGACUGAGGAUUUUAGACCGUGGAAUCUUGGUAUCAAGAUGAAAAAGAAAGCCAAAAAGGCCAUUGUUGAGUCAGAUCCUGAAGAAGAAAACUACAAAGUGCCAGAAUAUAAAACUGUCAUUAGUUUCCAUUCAAAAGACCAAUUAAACAUCACAUUAUCCAAAUGUGGUCUUGUAAUGUUAAAUAACUUAGUCAAGGCAUUUACAGAAGCUGCCACUGGAUCUUCAGCUGACUUCGUAAAGGAUCUAGCACCAUUUAUAAUUUUAAAUUCCCUUGGACUUACUAUCUCUGUUUCGCCAAGUGAUUCUUUUAGUGUACUCAACGUUCCUAUGGCAAAAUCAUAUGUAUUGAAAAAUGAAGAAAGUUUAAGUAUGGAUUAUGUCCGAACCAAGGACAAUGAUCAUUUCAAUGCAAUGACCAGCCUAAGCAGCAAACUCUUCUUCAUUCUUCUUACACCUGUUAACCAUUCUACUGCUGAUAAGAUUCCUUUAACAAAAGUGGGACGACGUCUGUACACUGUAAGACACAGAGAGUCUGGAGUUGAAAGAUCUAUUGUUUGUCAAAUUGAUACAGUGGAAGGAAGUAAGAAGGUCACAAUUCGCUCCCCAGUGCAGAUAAGAAAUCAUUUUUCAGUCCCACUGUCUGUUUACGAAGGGGAUACCUUAUUGGGAACUGCCUCACCUGAAAAUGAAUUCAACAUACCAUUAGGAUCUUACCGAUCAUUCCUUUUUCUGAAGCCAGAAGAUGAGGACUAUCAAAUGUGUGAAGGAAUUGACUUUGAAGAGAUUGUGAAAAAUGAUGGUGCUCUUCUAAAGAAGAAAUGUAGAUCUCAAAACCCUUCCAAGAAAUCAUUUCUCAUUAAUAUUGUUCCAGAAAAAGAUAAUUUAACGUCUCUAUCAGUGUAUUCAGAAGAUGGUUGGGAUUUACCAUACAUAAUGCAUUUGUGGCCACCUAUCCUGCUCCGAAAUCUUCUUCCUUACAAAAUUGCUUAUUAUAUAGAGGGAAUUGAAAAUUCAGUUUUUACUCUAAGUGAAGGACAUUCAGCCCAGAUUUGUACUGUACAGUUGGAUAAAGCCAGGCUACGUUUAAAAUUACUUGACUAUCUCAAUCACGAUUGGAAAAGUGAAUAUCACAUAAAGCCUAAUCAGCAAGACAUUAGUUUUGUCAAUUUUACCUGUAUUACAGAAAUGGAAAAGACUGAUUUAGAUAUUGCUGUCCAUAUGACUUAUAAUACUGGUCAGACAGUUGUGGCAUUUCAUAGUCCUUAUUGGAUGGUCAACAAAACUGGUCGCAUGUUACAGUACAAAGCAGACGGAAUUCAUCGAAAGCAUCCACCUAAUUAUAAAAAGCCAGUUCUCUUUUCUUUUCAGCCAAAUCACUUUUUUAAUAACAAUAAGGUUCAACUUAUGGUAACUGAUAGUGAAUUAUCCGAUCAAUUUUCAAUUGAUACUGUUGGUAGUCAUGGAGCUGUUAAAUGUAAAGGCCUGAAAAUGGACUAUCAAGUUGGUGUCACUAUAGACCUGAGCAGUUUUAACAUUACUAGAAUUGUGACAUUUACCCCUUUUUAUAUGAUUAAAAACAAAAGCAAAUACCGUAUAUCAGUGGCUGAAGAAGGAACUGAUAAAUGGCUCUCUCUUGAUUUGGAGCAGUGUAUCCCCUUUUGGCCUGAGGAUGCUUCUAGUAAACUUCUUAUUCAAGUUGAAGGGAGUGAAGAUCCUCCCAAAAGGAUAUAUUUUAACAAGCAAGAAAAUUGUAUUCUAUUGCGUCUGGAUAACGAGCUUGGAGGUAUUAUAGCAGAAGUGAAUUUGGCUGAGCAUUCUACAGUUAUUACAUUUUUAGAUUAUCAUGAUGGAGCAGCUACAUUCCUCUUAAUAAAUCACACAAAGAAUGAACUUGUUCAAUACAAUCAAAGUUCUCUCAGUGAAAUAGAAGAUUCCCUCCCUCCUGGAAAAGCAGUGUUUUAUACAUGGGCUGAUCCAGUGGGCUCUAGAAGGCUGAAGUGGAGAUGUAGAAAAAGCCAUGGUGAAGUAACACAAAAGGAUGAUAUGAUGAUGCCUAUAGAUUUGGGGAAAAAGACUAUUUAUUUAGUUUCAUUCUUUGAAGGUUUACAACGCAUUAUUUUAUUCACUGAAGAUCCAAAGGUAUUUAAAGUAACAUAUGAAAGUGAGAAAGCAGAGUUAGCAGAGCAAGAAAUUGCAGUGGCAUUACAAGAUGUUGGAAUUUCUCUUGUCAACAAUUACACGAAGCAAGAAGUAGCCUAUAUAGGCAUCACAAGUUCUGAUGUGGUUUGGGAGACAAAGCCCAAGAAGAAGGCAAGAUGGAAGCCAAUGAGUGUAAAGCACACUGAGAAGUUAGAGAGAGAAUUUAAGGAAUAUACUGAAUCUUCACCUUCAGAAGAUAAGGUUAUUGAGUUGGACACUAACAUUCCGGUUCGCUUAACACCUACUGGUCAUAACAUGAAAAUUCUGCAGCCGCGUGUAAUAGCUCUACGAAGAAAUUAUCUUCCAGCAUUAAAAGUGGAAUAUAACACAUCUGCACAUCAAUCAUCAUUUAGAAUUCAAAUCUACAGAAUACAGAUCCAAAAUCAGAUACAUGGUGCUGUGUUUCCCUUUGUGUUUUAUCCUGUUAAACCUCCAAAGUCCGUCACCAUGGAUUCAGCACCAAAGCCCUUUACAGAUGUCAGUAUUGUCAUGAGAUCUGCAGGACAUUCCCAGAUAUCACGUAUUAAGUAUUUCAAAGUAUUGAUUCAAGAAAUGGAUCUCAGGUUAGAUCUUGGGUUUAUCUAUGCUUUAACAGACCUUAUGACAGAAGCUGAGGUAACUGAAAAUACAGAGGUUGAGCUUUUUCAUAAAGAUAUAGAAGCUUUCAAAGAAGAAUAUAAAACAGCCUCAUUAGUAGAUCAAUCACAAGUCAGCCUCUAUGAAUAUUUUCAUAUAUCUCCUCUUAAGUUACAUUUAAGUGUUUCACUGAGUUCGGGCGGAGAAGAAGCUAAAGAUUCAAAACAAAAUGGAGGACUGACUCCAGUUCAUUCUUUAAAUCUUUUGCUGAAGAGUAUUGGUGCCACACUGACAGAUGUACAAGAUGUAGUUUUUAAGCUUGCAUUUUUUGAACUCAACUAUCAGUUCCAUACAACAUCCGACCUACAGUCUGAGGUCAUAAGACACUAUUCAAAACAGGCCAUUAAGCAGAUGUAUGUACUCAUUCUUGGACUUGAUGUUUUGGGAAAUCCAUUUGGCUUAAUUAGAGAAUUUUCUGAAGGUGUAGAAGCAUUCUUUUAUGAACCUUACCAGGGAGCCAUCCAGGGUCCUGAAGAGUUUGUGGAGGGAAUGGCACUAGGACUUAAGGCACUAGUUGGUGGAGCUGUUGGUGGAUUAGCGGGUGCUGCCUCCAAAAUCACUGGUGCUAUGGCUAAAGGGGUAGCAGCUAUGACCAUGGAUGAAGACUACCAACAGAAGAGAAGAGAAGCCAUGAAUAAGCAACCAGCUGGUUUUAGAGAAGGCAUCACUCGUGGAGGAAAAGGCUUAGUUUCUGGAUUUGUUAGUGGCAUAACAGGAAUUGUUACAAAACCAAUCAAAGGAGCUCAAAAAGAAGGAGCAGCUGGUUUCUUUAAAGGUGUUGGGAAAGGUUUAGUGGGAGCGGUAGCAAGGCCAACUGGAGGCAUCAUAGACAUGGCUAGCAGUACAUUUCAGGGAAUAAAAAGAGCUACAGAGACUUCUGAAGUGGAGAGUCUGCGACCUCCUCGGUUCUUCAAUGAAGAUGGAGUUAUCAGACCGUACAGGUUGAGGGAUGGUACUGGAAAUCAGAUGUUACAGGAGGAGAAUGACUACUAAUCUGGAAGGAAGGGCUUACUGUAGCAGGCAGAUCACCAGAGUAGUGCCGAACACUUCCUGGCUUCAUCUGAAAAUUUGAGUCAUGGAAAAUGGAAGAUUUGCAAAAUACAAAUAUUUUACCCACGUCAUGAUCAAUAAGACAGAUAUGCUAAUGAUAACCAGACGUGGUGUAUUGUUUGUAACAAAGGGAACAUUUGGACAGCUCACGUGUGAGUGGCAGUAUAGCUUUGAUGAGUUCACCAAAGAGCCAUUCAUUGUUCACGGGAGAAGACUGCGCAUUGAAGCAAAGGAACGAGUGAAGUCUGUAUUUCAUGCCAGAGAGUUUGGAAAAAUAAUUAACUUCAAGACCCCAGAGGAUGCCAGGUGGAUCCUUACAAAGCUCGAAGAAGCAAGAGAACCUUCUCCGAGCCUCUGACAGAGAACACUGCCUGAAGACACACAGCAAUAAGGAAUUACAGCCCCUAGACUGUACCUUUCAAAACCUGUUUGGGAAGCAUAUUACAGAAAUAAUUUCAAGUACCCUGUAUUCUGGAUGCUAAAAAAAAAAACAAAAAACAGAAUCAAGUAAAACAGCUAUGUGAUUAAAAUAUUUCAAUUCUUCAGCAAUUACCUGGUUUUCUAACUUGAAUCAUGCAUCUAUUUAUAAUUAUAAUUAUUUUGUAAAAGAAGAAACAAUUAUGAAUCUUAAAUAUUUGCUCCAAGUUUUUCUCUGUAAUGGUGGAGAGGCUGCCUGUAAUUCAUCUCCACGUGGAGCCAAGUUUAAUGUUUCUAGUUCACAUUUUGAACUUCCAUCAUACUUAUUUCAAACUCCCUGAGUGAUGGGUAAACAAUCAAAUCAAACAUUGCCUCAGUGGUAUCAAGAGAACUUUGGUGGUGGUUUCUUCAGAAUCAUGAAGUUCUUUUUAUAGACAAAUAUUUUGAUAUUAUUUUCCUUAUUUUUAAUAUAAAGGAUAGGUUUGAAUUAUACUUAAAAUGCAUAGCAUGAUUAUUAAAAACAAUCUUUCAAAAUACAAUUUAUAACAUAGAUUGAAGCCUCCCCUUAAGAAAACUUAAAUGAGUAUGCUACUCAAAAAAGGAAGUCUCUGAGAACUUUAGGGACUUUGAAAUAUUUCCUCAAGCAUAUUUCAUGAGAUCUACUUGGUUUAUCCAAAUCAUGUUUUUAAUAGACUGCUAAUAUCAAAGGAGAAUAUCUAAAGCCUUAACAAUGCCUACUUUCCAUUCACUGUUAACAUGGAAUAUACAAAAUUCCCAACAUCUUAGAUACAGUGAAUUAUGCUUCCAACAGACAGUCCUUCUCAUAAGUAAGUGUAUGUACCCUGAAAUCUAGCCCAAUAAGCUGUCCUGUUGCCAACAGAUUGAGAAUUUCUGGUUUGCUUUCUCUACAGUUAUUCAAAUGAGAGUCACUCUUCUAAAUUUAGAGCUCAUCACAGAAAUCAUCAGCUAUACAUUAGUAAAAAUAAGGACAUGAGGUUUUCUUUCUUGGUUUUUGUCCAAGAUCUUUGCACCUUAAUAUUAAUGGACUGUUUCAGGUAAAAGGGAAUGAAUGUAUGAUUGUGAACUAUGAAGAGAAUGAUGCAGGAUCCUAUUUAGAUACUGAAUAAUACAGAGUAUUCAAUGCAUGUUGUAUGUGCCACCAAGUUAUUAUAAACUGUUUUUGGAAUUGAAGACUCUGUAUAGUCAAUGGUUGUGAAAUUCUUCUCAGGCUCCUAAAACCCUUGCUUUGUUGUAAAAGCUAAAAUAAACAGCAUGCUAUAUUGUAAUUGUUAUUUCUUGCUGACCAAAUCUACUUAAUGCUUCUGAUUUCUCUCUGAUGACUAAAACACAUUGUUUAUUCUCAGUAGUUUCUCCCAAAAUGCUUUUUGCUCUGCUGAACUUAAAUUGAAUCAAACCACACGUUUCAAACCACAUGAAAGUGUGUUUCCAUGUUGACCUUUUUAUAAAAAAAAGAAAAAAAAGUGCAUAUUUUCUCUGUUGCUAAGCUCCUCCAGUUUUGCUUUUGUCAGAAUUAAACCUAAGAGUGGAGAUAGUCAGAGAGCUUGCAUCAGAUUGUCCUCAUCCAAAACAAAAUACUUCAUUACCCAUUCCAAUGUUAUGAUUUCACCAGUCUCAGAAAAAUUACAGCCCCCUGCCUCCCUGGGUGUAGUGUCGUGAAGCAGAAAAGCCUUACAUAAAUAGUAAACGUAGAAAUUCCAGAAAUUCUUCUGGUGUCCUCUGGCAGCCAGCAGGAGUGGGUCUUGUAACUAGUCCACAUAGAAAGGAUAGUGCCUUUCUUGUUCCCUUGCCAUAAGAAUCAUGAAAUAUCUCUUCUUUCCCUGCCACUGGUUUACACAUCACCUCCUCCCGUGGCUUCCUUGUCUCUAGAGGGACCCACACUUUCAAGAGCUACAUCGUAUCAUUUGUUUUAGAAGAUUGUUUUCAUCUAAACAAAAACACUAAGAACAUCAGUAGAUCACUAGAUAACGAGUCAGUGUUUUUAGCAUCACAUUUUACAGUUUAGUUUUUGUUUGAUUGACUCUAUAGCCCAUUUUUCUUGAAGGUUAGAAUAUACAAUCGUCUUGUAUUUGAAAACCAUCUGCCCUAAAUUACAUUUAACUACAAUAAAUGGCUCUCUGCUGGAGAAAUUUAAGCUUGUCUAAGUUGUUUGGUGGUGGCUAUGGAAUGAGGUGUUCAGUCUUGUGCCCCUUCCAUGUAUUUUUUGCUAACUCUAUUACUAGGCCCUUAAUUCCAGCAUAGCAUGUCUUCUGGUCUAUGAUAAUUAUGCGAGGACCAAGACAGAGUUCCCUGCCAACUCUCCACCAGAAAAUCAUAAGUCAUUGGAAAGAGCGACUUUGAUUUCUUCACAUUUAGAAAAUACUCUCUGAGCCAAAAGGCACAUACACUUCUCCAGUGUCUUCCCUUUUAGAGUGUAUAUAUUUGCUGCUUUUCCUCUACUGUUUGCAAAAAUCCCCAAGGUCAGUUUAGUGUGGCUGAGUUGUUAUCUGGACUGUAAAUAAUCAUUAACACCUGUAGGCAGUUCUUACCUACCCCUCUCCUCCACAAUCCUAAUCCAUUUGGAGGCAACUAUCCUGUGGCCUCCAAAUGAAUCAGUCUUUCUUAGACUUACAUGAUCUUUUCUAUAAUAAUUCUUUCUCUCAUUUCUUCUGAUGGUAAUAGCAGUAAUAUUGUUCCAGUGAAUAUCUAUGCACCUAGCUCAUCUCAUAGAAACAUCCCACAUAGUAGCAUCGUAUUACUGUCUAGUAAAAAGUAAGAUUAAAUUAAAAGGACUCUACACAGUGCUGAAUUUCCUGCACCUAAAUUAUCCAGUUAUCACUUGCCAGUAUUCUUUGAUCCCUCAGGCUAUGUCAAGUACCCCUUCACGUAGGCCCCUGUAUUAAAAAGAUUGGGACAAUAUACUUGAUUAGUUUGCCUGUAGAAGCUGAAAGUAUGUACCAAAUACAUUGACAGUGGAUGCUUUGGUGGCUCAGCCAACACAGAUCAGAGAAAUCUUUUCGGGUUCCAGGGCUAUUGCUUGUUACCUUUUGUCAGGAUCAACCCAAAUCCUCAGGGAUGCUGUUUUUCCACACUAAGUCCUAACUCAUUAGUGGGUCAUGAAAUCAACUCAACAGCUCAAGACCAGUAUAUUUUAAAAGUGAAAUAAAAAAUAGAGGAACAAUAGAGCAUGUAAAAUGGUUAAGUAUUGGUUCCUGUUUCAGCGAAAUCUUCUAUCUACUGUGUAUACGGGGUCACAAGAUAAAGUGUUUCCUAUUAUGAAAUGCAAUUGAAAAAAAGAAAGCUUGACAGACUCUGCAGGAGGCAUGGGCCAUCCAGUGACUGUUGGAAGAGUCUGGAUUGUGUGGAGCCUGACCUUAGAUAAGGAGCAGCAGAUCCACAGCUCAGGAAGUCUAGAGAGGCUCAGCACUUUCUCUUUUGAGUGAGAAGAUGGAAUCACUCUUGUUUGGUUUCUGAAACAUUUUUCUUCUCUGCUGUGUAUCAGGCACCUCAUAUGAUCCAGUGGAACCAGAAAAAGCAUAGAAAAAUCAGAUCCACAAACAGCACCCACAAAAGGCCACAGCAGUCUUUUGUUUACCUAGAUGUACUUUAACCUCUUUACCACUAAGCAUUUUACUAUCAUAGAAUUGGGGACAGACAUUGUCCUUCGGAGUCCGUUGAAUUUGCACCAUCUUCCUUUUGGCUGAUUGACCAUACAGGUGGCAAAGGCCUUUAAAAAUGGGGAGCUAAUAUGUAGGGCACAUUCUGGUAGGGCCAAAAUAUUCACUAUGCAAAUAUCAAUGCCUUUUUACUAAAAACAGUGGAUUUCCUCAUUGCUUUAAGAUCCAAGGAGAAAAGGUAAAUAACUCACAUUCCAUAUGCAGGACUCAAUACAGACUUAGUCAAUCUGAUUUUCUUUGGUGCUAUUCAGUAUAGCGCAACUCUAAAAGGAACCCCAUUCACUCUCCUGCUUAGUCCUUUGAAAUAUACUUUUGAAGUUAUCCCUUAUCAUUAAUGGCAAUCUAAUGAAGCUAGGAUUCGUCGGUUAAAAUUGCGAUUCUUGUAAUCUGUACUGUCCAUUUUUGGCCACUCCGACUGUUAGAGCAAACUUUUCUCCACUGUCACAAUUGGUCUAAAGUAGUAUUUGUUUCAGGACUAUCCAAAAAGCAAAGCCGGCACAUUGAGAAGAUACAGAAUCCUACUCUAUUACACACCUUAUUCGUGUUUCUUUGAUUGAAACCUUUUUCUACUUUAUAUUUCCUCUUUUGUAAAGUAAAUUUUUCCAUGUCGUUUAAAAAAUUUUUUACUUUAGAAUUACAGAUGAGUUCUUUUUUUAAAGCAUUAUGGCAUUUAAAAAAAAAAAUUUUGGUUACCCAAAAAGCUCUACAAGAAAUAUAACUUCAAUUUUUUUAGGCUGAUAUGGGUAUAUUUUUAAAGUUUUUAUUACUUUAUACAAAUACAAAUUAUAGUUUAACACCUGCUAUGAUGAUAGAUAUCACACUGUUAUGAUAGAAAAUCCCUGUCAGUCAUUGAACUAUUCAUUUAGUGUUACUCUGAUACCUCAAUAAUGUGCUCCUUCUAAUGAAGUCCUUGUAACAAGAAACCCUGUGAGAUUGGUAUAAUGAGAUAUCUAAUAAUUAGAAGUAUAAUUAAAGUAGAACAUGUUGGAAAAUCCCAACAUUUCCUGUUAUGCCAUUGUACCUCCGGUGUUCAGUCCAUUACUCAAAAGUUCCCAAUUCUCGGGCUGAAAAACAUUCAAGUAAAAAUGUAGCAUAGAUUAUACCGAAAUAUUUUCAAUAUCGAUGAUUUAAUAGCCACACUCACAAACUAUUAGGAAUGGUAUCUGGGACUUGUUACAAGGUCAGAUAGAUUGUUAUAGACUUUUAAAAAUAAUUAUCUCUGUAUAUGACUGUGUAUUACAUAUAAAAAUGAAUUUUUCAGGAAAGGUGCACUUUAAAAAUAUUCUCUUGCUAGUUUUAUUAAUUGAUCAAAUAGCCUUUGCUGCUUUGGAGUGUUUAUUCUUUGAUGAAAAUAUGGUCAUUGAUUAUGAUAGUUUUAAAAAUAUCUAUUUCUGCAUCGCUGCAGGAUUUCCUACACUUUUCUGUUCCUCAUUCCUCUUUUAUGUGUGCUUGGCUCAGUUGCCUGUUACACAGUCUCUGCCUUGGUUUUGUGUAUUCUAAGAUAAUUUAUAAACACAGAUGUUUACAGUGAAGUUCUUCCUUUUGAAACUAAUCUUAUUCUUUUAUUCCUCUCUCUAAAAAUUGGUUGGCCACGCUCACUAAUGACUUUCUUGACAAUAAUUAUUUCUUGGUAUUGGUAGAUUUGGAUUGCAUGGUAAGAUGACUGUCCAUUUUCACCAUGUAUACCUUUGUCAAAUAAAGAUUUCUGAUCUUU
Molecule: non-coding RNA, 13961 nt
Organism: Chlorocebus sabaeus (green monkey)
Lineage: Eukaryota; Metazoa; Chordata; Mammalia; Primates; Cercopithecidae
Source: RefSeq, a predicted model, not a curated record